This is a long non-coding RNA of Pteropus alecto (black flying fox), 2813 nucleotides long. RefSeq lists it as uncharacterized. The transcript has 3 exons. Lineage: Eukaryota; Metazoa; Chordata; Mammalia; Chiroptera; Pteropodidae. The record is from RefSeq and is a predicted model, not a curated record.
AAAGGUUCCGCCAGCAGCGCGCGAAUGUGGCUCCUGGUCGAGCUGCCCUUCAAAGCUGGAAUCACCUCUUCCCGGGUUGCUAGCAAGACCACUGCAGGCUGCGUGUUGCGUCCUCCUGGAGCGUUGAGCCAGACUGCCUGCCCACAGAAUGGGAUGGGCUUAUGCUAGUAGGACUUUACAUCAGAAGCCAUGGAGAUGAGAAGGAAGUGGAACUACGGAUUUAAGGUGCUAAAAGAAAAGACUGUCAACUCGGAUUUCUAUAUCUAGCAUAAAUCACCUUCAGGAAUUAAGACGAUGAAAAUGAAAUGAAGGAACUCAUCGAGGGUCAUGGAUUUGAACCCAGGCAGGAUCCAGAAUUUGUACACUUAACCUCGGCUGAGUUGUUGGCCAGAACAUCCACAUCAGGCUUCUCCAUGGGGCCUGGGCUUCCUCACAACAUGGCAACUGGGUUCCCAGGAUAUAUUCUAAGACAAAGAGCCAGGGAGAAGCUGUACCAUCUUUUCUAAUUCAGCCUUGGAAGCCACACAGUGUCACCUCUGCUGCAUUCUAUUCAUCAUCAGCCACAAGUCUUGCCAGGUUCCCGAGGAGGUGAAAUAGACUGCCACUCUCUUCUACCAAGAGGGGAAACAUUCUUGAAGAACAUGCGGGAAUGAAAAUAUUGUUGUGGCCAUUUUUGGAAAAUACAAUCUGCCACACUCAGCCAUGUGACAGAUGGGGAAAAUGGAACUCCUUCCUCUUACCCAGAGGAAUGAGUUGUCUAGGUUCAUUCACACAUGGGCAGACCCCAGUGGUCAUGCCUGUGAGCAUGGGACCCAGAAGUCUGGCCCUCCCCUCCCAUCCUCUGCCUUGGGAGAUCCACUCUUGCUCUUCCAGGCCAGGGCUCUGCAAAGGCCAGCUUGUCCAUGCUCAGCUAGUAGUAAUUCUAGCUGUGGUUGACUCCAUUAGCAGCUACAUGUUUCUUCCUCUUUGAGAUGGGUGGGUGGAUGGCCUUGGGAGAGCUCGUUCUUCCUCAGCUUCUAGGCCCAUCUGGCUGGGGUAUCUAUCAAUGAGAAAGCCUAAGCCCAUUCCCACCUCAGUCACCUUCGACAGCCAGGAUGAUCUGAUUGGCUGAGCCCCAACCACAGGUACAAUCAGCAACAGUGGAGGGGCCAAAUUCCGAGCUAAGCAGAGUUAUCAUGGGUGGGAAGUUUUCAGGGAAGGGAGGUUGUGACUUGAAAAGACACCCCUAAAAUAUAUAUUGGCUCCUGCAUUAGAUUUUAUUUAAUGGUUUGUGGAUUCGUUUCCCUUGCCCUCUACAACCAAUUUAUCAGCAAGCUCUCUAAAAUAUACCCUGAAUCAAUUCAUUUCAUUCUCUCUCUGUUGCCCCCAGCCUCACCCAGGCCACCAGUGUCUCCUGCCAGAAUGAUUGUACCAUCCCUUCUCUGAUCUCAUGUCUACUUCUGCCUCCCUCUAGCUUAUAUCUGUACAGUAGCCAGAGGGAUUAUUUCACAAUGUGAACCAGUUAGUAUUUCUCCCUGUUUACAGCCCCACCCACAGUGGCUUCUCCUAAAAUCUGGACUCUUCACUGAGGCCACUACCUGUAUGUCUUACCUUUUACGACAUUCAUUCUGGCCACACUGGUAUCCUUUGUGUUCUUCCAAUAUGCCAAGCUCAGUCCUGCCUUGAGAGUUUUGCACUUGCCAUUUUAUCUGCCUGCAAUGUAUUAAGCCAGUUUGUCAUGUGUCUUUCAGGUCUCAGUUCAAACAUCAUGGUAUGCCUUAGGUUAGGCAAAAGUGCUAUAACAACAACAAAAAAAAGACCCCAGAAUGUGUGAUGGCUCAAGCGCACUAGAAGUUUAUUUCUUACCUAUGUAAUAGAUGUGCCAGUGCAAUGGAUGGCUCUCCUCCAUGUGAUGAUACAGUGAUCCAGGUUCUUCCAUCUUGGGGCCUGCUGUCACUUGCAUUCAGCCGGGGAAAAAGGAAAGAGAACAUGGAGGAAGCUCAUCUCCUUCUGAAAGCUUAGGUUUGAAAGAGGCAUUCAUCACAUCUCCCAUCCCACUGACAGGAGCUGUUCAUAUGGCCAUACCUGGAUGCAGAGGGACUGGGAAACGUCGCCCUUGCCUGGGCAGCCACUUGUCAGUUCCAACCACACACUAGCAAGGGGAGCAUGGUUUGAUGGACAAAUACCUUGGCCACCUUCUCAGAGAGGCCUUCUCCAACCAUCCCCUCCCCAAAAAUGUCCCUUCAUCCAGUAUCCCUAUUUGAUUUUCUUCAUAAUGUGCUUUAUUUACCCACUUGUUUAUUGUCUCCAUCCCCUUCCAGAAGGUAAGCUCUGUGAGGAUGGAAACCUUGAUUAACUGGUUAAUGUCAUAUUCCUAGCACCUAGAUCAGCACUAGGCCCACAGUGAAUUUUAGUAAAUGUAUAUGGAAUCAAUGAAAGGACAAAUUUCUAUUUUAACGGUGGGAACACAGAGGAUACUGUGAUUUCAUGAACAGAACACGCUUGGCCCAAGGGCUUGGCAUACAGUAGGAUCCCCAUUCAUGCUAAUUCUUUUCAAUCUCCAGUGUCGAUCUUGAGGCUACAGACUUCAGAAAUGCUAGGCUGUGGUCUGUGAGUCAGGAGGCCUGGAUUUGAGUCUGGCUCUGUCCUGACUUCUGUGUGGGACCUUCUUCUCUCCUGUAUGGGCCUUGGUUUCCCAAUCUACAAGAUGGGGGCGGAGCAGGCUGGCUAGACAAACUUCCACAUUCCUCAUGGCUCAAGAAUAGAUGACCACCCCUGAGUAUGUACCUUCUUUUUCCAACUGCUGACCUUUGAGAGAAAGGUCCCCUCCCUUU